GGUAACAGGAAGAAGCUUGCUUCUUUGCUGACGAGUGGCGGACGGGUGAGUAAUGUCUGGGAAACUGCCUGAUGGAGGGGGAUAACUACUGGAAACGGUAGCUAAUACCGCAUAACGUCGCAAGACCAAAAAGGGGGACCUUCGGGCCUCUUGCCAUCGGAUGUGCCCAGAUGGGAUUAGCUAGUAGGUGGGGUAACGGCUCACCUAGGCGACGAUCCCUAGCUGGUCUGAGAGGAUGACCAGCCACACUGGAACUGAGACACGGUCCAGACUCCUACGGGAGGCAGCAGUGGGGAAUAUUGCACAAUGGGCGCAAGCCUGAUGCAGCCAUGCCGCGUGUAUGAAGAAGGCCUUCGGGUUGUAAAGUACUUUCAGCGGGGAGGAAGGGAGUAAAGUUAAUACCUUUGCUCAUUGACGUUACCCGCAGAAGAAGCACCGGCUAACUCCGUGCCAGCAGCCGCGGUAAUACGGAGGGUGCAAGCGUUAAUCGGAAUUACUGGGCGUAAAGCGCACGCAGGCGGUUUGUUAAGUCAGAUGUGAAAUCCCCGGGCUCAACCUGGGAACUGCAUGUGAUACUGGCAAGCUUGAGUCUCGUAGAGGGGGGUAGAAUUCCAGGUGUAGCGGUGACAUGCGUAGAGAUCUGGAGGAAUAC
RNAcentral lists this ribosomal RNA (652 nucleotides) under uncultured Pseudomonadota bacterium. Its description in RNAcentral is "bacterial SSU rRNA". It matches the Rfam family "Bacterial small subunit ribosomal RNA", at positions 68 to 709 of the family's 1533-position model. The record is from RNAcentral. Lineage: Bacteria; Pseudomonadati; Pseudomonadota.